CGCUUGGAAUUUGACCCUGCUCCCGCAGACGUCAUACAGGAGAAAUUUGGAACCCCUUCGCGGCCUUGCGCUAUCAGAUGAACCUAGGUCGGAUUAGCUACUUGGUGAGGUAAUGGCUCACCAAGGCGACUAUCCGUAUCUGGUCUGAAAGGAUGAUCAGUCACACUGGAACUGAGACGCGGUCCAGACUCCUACAGGAGGCAGCAGUGGGGAAUAUUGGACAAUGGGCGAAAGCCUGAUCCAGCCAUGCCGCGUGUGUGAAGAAGGUCUUCGGAUUGUAAAGCACUUUAAGUUGGGAGGAAGGGCAUUUACCUAAUACGUAAGUGUUUUGACGUUACCGACAGAAUAAGCACCGGCUAACUCUGUGCCAGCAGCCGCGGUAAUACAGAGGGUGCAAUCGUUUAUCGGAAUUACUGGGCGUAAAGCGCGCGUAGGUGGUUUGUUAAGUUGGAUGUGAAAUCCCCGGGCUCAACCUGGGAACUGCAUUCAAAACUGACACGCUAGAGUAUGGUAGAGGGUGGUGGAAUUUCCUGUGUCGGGAUGAAAUGCGUACAAUAUUCAAAUUG
RNAcentral lists this ribosomal RNA (566 nucleotides) under Pseudomonas sp. ZK-17. Its description in RNAcentral is "bacterial SSU rRNA". It matches the Rfam family "Bacterial small subunit ribosomal RNA", at positions 167 to 705 of the family's 1533-position model. The record is from RNAcentral. Lineage: Bacteria; Pseudomonadati; Pseudomonadota; Gammaproteobacteria; Pseudomonadales; Pseudomonadaceae.